RNAcentral lists this transfer RNA (72 nucleotides) under Bos taurus (domestic cattle). It matches the Rfam family "tRNA". Rfam says of the family: Transfer RNA (tRNA) molecules are approximately 80 nucleotides in length. Their secondary structure includes four short double-helical elements and three loops (D, anti-codon, and T loops). Lineage: Eukaryota; Metazoa; Chordata; Mammalia; Artiodactyla; Bovidae. The record is from Rfam by way of RNAcentral. RNAcentral also lists the same sequence under 1 other name.
UCCCUGGUGGUCCAGUGGUUAAGACUCUGCCUUGCAAGGCAGGGGACGUGGGGUCAAUCUCUGCUCGGGGAA